CAGUGUGUUAACUGAAGACAGAAUGGUUCUGUGAACCCUUCUCUUUGCCUGUUAAGCCAAGUGGUAAAGUAAUCCAAAAGCCACAGAACUAUUGCACCCAAGAGUCUGAGUUUGAUCUCUGCUGGGCUUUCUUAACUAAACUGGGUCAAAGAUUUGGGCUGGAUCUGGAUGGAUUACUACUAUAAAAGGAAGUCUGAGCUGAAGUCUUUCCAGUGGCAUGUGGUGACUAUCAUCCUCAUCCAUGGAGACUCUUUUGGCCUGAAUCCAUAUCUUAAGGGACAGGCCAGCCAGCAGGGGAUCUACUCACAACACAGCGUCAUGGAUUGAUAGUCAAGCCGUGGAAAAUGUUCUUCCAUCAGCAGACUCUGGAGCACUUGCAAGCUCUUCAGAUAGCAGGCUGGCAUUUCUACAAUUUACUCUGGAUCUGCAGUAAGUGGCUUGCAGCUUAUGAUGCUGGCCAAGCCAUCUUUCUACCAUCUACAUUCUGAAAAUACUCAGAGGUGGGGACUCACCUGUGAAUACAUGGCCCGUGUGAGACCUGCUUCACCAUUGAACACCUAAUGCUCCAUCCAGUGCCCAGAGAAGCAAUGAAAUGAGAAGCUUUGCUCUGCCCCAUGCUCCCAUCAUGAUGUGCUGCCUCACCAUAGGCCCCAAAGUAAUGGAGCCAGCUUACUAUUGACUGAGACCUCCAAAACCGCUCACCACUGUUGGCCUUGUGUCUCAGAGAAGACUUUGGAUUGGGACUUUUCAGUGAUGCUGGAACUGUUAAGACUUUGGUGACUUUUACAGGAAUCAAACUCAGGACCUUGCACUUGCGAGGCAGGCAGCAGCACCACUGAGCUAAAUUCCCAGCAACCUGUUGAUUUUUUUUAACAAGAAAGUAAACCAAGGCAUUUUGAAAAAGAUGUAUCAGUGUGAUGACGUUCUUCUCACCAAGAGAAAACGUGACCUUCACAAAUCCGACAGAGCAGGUUGGAGGAGCCUUGAGCCCCUUCUUCACGGGCAGGGACCGCCCCUCGUCGCUAGGCAGCAGUGUGGACUGCACCCCUCAGCACUUCUACAAAACCCUGCCUCGUUUUGGUCAACCUGUUGGGAUUUCAGAGCAGAGCAGCCUGGC
This 1117-nucleotide long non-coding RNA is filed under the name Heterocephalus glaber (naked mole-rat). RNAcentral describes it as "lncRNA (ENSHGLG00000036597.1)". The record is from RNAcentral. Lineage: Eukaryota; Metazoa; Chordata; Mammalia; Rodentia; Bathyergidae.